UACGUAGGGGGCAAGCGUUGUCCGGAUUUAUUGGGCGUAAAGAGCGUGUAGGCGGCCUGACAGGUCUGCUGUGAAAACUCGAGGCUCAACCUCGAGAUGUCGGCGGAAACCGUCUGGCUAGAGUCCGGAAGAGGAGAGUGGAAUUCCUGGUGUAGCGGUGAAAUGCGCAGAUAUCAGGAAGAACACCUAUGGCGAAGGCAGCUCUCUGGGACGGUACUGACGCUGAGACGCGAAAGCGUGGGGAGCGAAUGGG
Molecule: ribosomal RNA, 253 nt
Filed under: uncultured bacterium
Lineage: Bacteria
Description: partial 16S ribosomal RNA
Rfam family: Bacterial small subunit ribosomal RNA
Source: RNAcentral